RNAcentral lists this ribosomal RNA (355 nucleotides) under Acaulospora foveata. RNAcentral's name for it is "partial large subunit ribosomal RNA". Lineage: Eukaryota; Fungi; Glomeromycota; Glomeromycetes; Diversisporales; Acaulosporaceae. The record is from RNAcentral.
AGAGUUAAACAGUACGUGAAAUUGUUGAAAGGGAAACGAUUGAAGUCAGUCAUGCUUGUAGGGAAUCAGCAAGGUGGUUUUUCUUCCUUGUGCACUUCCUUGCUUGGCAGGUUAGCAUCAAUUUUGAUUGUCAUUAAAGAACUGGGGGAAUGUGGCUUCUUCGGGAGUGUUAUAGACCCUAGUAGAUGUGGCGAUUGGGAUUGAGGAUUGCAGCGAAUGCUUCUUGGCUAGUCACCUGGCUUCUGGUGGUCGCCUUGCUUCCGAUAGCUUGCUAACGGUAGUGAGACUCGAUUGUCUAGAUGUUAGAGUGAUCAUAAAUUCGUUAAGGAUGUUGACGUAAUGGCUUUAAACGACC